Molecule: ribosomal RNA, 499 nt
Filed under: uncultured bacterium
Lineage: Bacteria
Description: partial 16S ribosomal RNA
Rfam family: Bacterial small subunit ribosomal RNA
Source: RNAcentral
GACGAACGCUGGCGGCGUGCCUAAUACAUGCAAGUCGAGCGGACUGACUGGGAGCUUGCUCUUGUUCGGUCAGCGGCGGACGGGUGAGUAACACGUGGGCAACCUGCCCGCAAGACCGGGAUAACUCCGGGAAACCGGAGCUAAUACCGGAUAACACCGAAGACCGCAUGGUCUUUGGUUGAAAGGCGGCGCAAGCUGCCACUUGUGGAUGGGCCCGCGGCGCAUUAGCUAGUUGGUGAGGUAACGGCUCACCAAGGCGACGAUGCGUAGCCGGCCUGAGAGGGUGACCGGCCACACUGGGACUGAGACACGGCCCAGACUCCUACGGGAGGCAGCAGUAGGGAAUCUUCCGCAAUGGGCGAAAGCCUGACGGAGCGACGCCGCGUGAGCGAAGAAGGCCUUCGGGUCGUAAAGCUCUGUUGUGAGGGACGAAGGAGCGCCGUUUGAAGAAGGCGGCGCGGUGACGGUACCUCACGAGGAAGCCCCGGCUAACUACGUG